This 301-nucleotide ribosomal RNA is filed under the name uncultured bacterium. RNAcentral's name for it is "bacterial SSU rRNA". It matches the Rfam family "Bacterial small subunit ribosomal RNA", at positions 29 to 320 of the family's 1533-position model. The record is from RNAcentral.
AAUGAACGCUGGCGGCGCGCCUAAUACAUGCAAGUCGAGCGAGAAGACGUAGCAAUACGUUUGUAAAGCGGCGAACGGGUGAGGAAUACAUGGGUAACCUACCCUCGAGUGGGGAAUAACUAGCCGAAAGGUUAGCUAAUACCGCGUACGCUCCUUGGACUUCGGUUCAGGGAGGAAAGCGAUACCGUGGGUAUCGCGCUCUUGGUUGGGCUCAUGUCCUAUCAGCUUGUUGGUGAGGUAACGGCUCACCAAGGCUUCGACGGGUAGCUGGUCUGAGAGGACGAUCAGCCACACUGGCACU